CGUAGGGCGCGAGCGUUGUCCGGAUUUAUUGGGCGUAAAGAGCUCGUAGGCGGCUCGUCGCGUCGAUCGUGAAAACUUGCAGCUCAACUGUGAGCUUGCGGUCGAUACGGGCGGGCUAGAGUUCGGUAGGGGAGACUGGAAUUCCUGGUGUAGCGGUGAAAUGCGCAGAUAUCAGGAGGAACACCGGUGGCGAAGGCGGGUCUCUGGGCCGAUACUGACGCUGAGGAGCGAAAGCGUGGGGAGCGAACAGGAUUAGAUACCCUGGUAGUCCACGCUGUAAACGUUGGGCGCUAGGUGUGGGGGUCCUCUCCGGGUUCCUGUGCCGUAGCUAACGCAUUAAGCGCCCCGCCUGGGGAGUACGGCCGCAAGGCUA
RNAcentral lists this ribosomal RNA (373 nucleotides) under uncultured organism. Its description in RNAcentral is "bacterial SSU rRNA". It matches the Rfam family "Bacterial small subunit ribosomal RNA", at positions 526 to 896 of the family's 1533-position model. The record is from RNAcentral.